Molecule: ribosomal RNA, 405 nt
Filed under: uncultured bacterium
Lineage: Bacteria
Description: bacterial SSU rRNA
Rfam family: Bacterial small subunit ribosomal RNA
Source: RNAcentral
UGAGGAAUUUUCCGCAAUGGACGAAAGCCUGACGGAGCAAUGCCGCGUGGAGGAUGAAGGCCCGUGGGUCGUAAACUCCUUUUCUCAGAGAAGAAUUUUUGACGGUAUCUGAGGAAUAAGCAUCGGCUAACUCUGUGCCAGCAGCCGCGGUAAUACAGAGGAUGCAAGCGUUAUCCGGAAUGAUUGGGCGUAAAGCGUUUGUAGGUGGUUUAUUAAGUCUUCUGUCAAAGCUCAGGGCUUAACCCUGUUUAGGCAGUAGAAACUAAUAGGCUAGAGUACGGUAGGGGCAGAGGGAAUUCCCGGUGUAGCGGUGAAAUGCGCAGAUAUCGGGAAGAACACCGAUGGCGAAAGCACUCUGCUGGGCCGAAACUGACACUGAGAGACGAAAGCUAGGGGAGCGAAUGG